AGCGAACGCUGGCGGCAGGCCUAACACAUGCAAGUCGAGCGCCCGUAGCAAUACGGGAGCGGCAGACGGGAGAGUAACACGUGGGAACGUACCCUUCAGUUCGGAACAACCCAGGGAAACUUGGGCUAAUACCGAAUACGUCCGUAAGGAGAAAGAUUUAUCGCUGAAGGACCGGCCCGCGUCUGAUUAGCUAGUUGGUGAGGUAAUGGCUCACCAAGGCGACGAUCAGUAGCUGGUCGAGAGGAUGAUCAGCCUCACUGGGACUGAGACACGGCCCAGACUCCUACGGGAGGCAGCAGUGGGGAAUAUUGGACAAUGGGCGCAAGCCUGAUCCAGCCAUGCCGCGUGGGUGAUGAAGGCCCUAGGGUUGUAAAGCCCUUUCGGCGGGGAA
This 391-nucleotide ribosomal RNA is filed under the name uncultured bacterium. Its description in RNAcentral is "bacterial SSU rRNA". It matches the Rfam family "Bacterial small subunit ribosomal RNA", at positions 29 to 446 of the family's 1533-position model. The record is from RNAcentral.